UUCGUCUAUUUUAACCUAAUUUUUUGUAUUCGUUUAAGAUUGGAGAUGAAGGAAGCAGAAAAAUCCAAAAAAACAAGCCGAAAAAGCUAGGAACGAAGAAGUGUAAGGAAAAUUAUGAAAAAGAAGAUGAAAUUGUGUAAAAACGGAAGAAAAACACAUAUCACAUUCAGAAGAUCGCGAAGAAUCUUAUAGAAAAUUCAAAUGUCGGAAAUGAGAUCAAACGCGCCCAAACAACAGAGUUAUAUCGCACUGGUAGUUCUAUUGCCGAACAAGCACUUGUGAAUGACGUCCUUGUAAAUGUUGGUUUGAGCAAAUGAAGAGAUUGAGGCUUGAGUAUUGUGGCGAGAUAUUGGCACACAAGAAAAAUGAUGAACAUCAUGUUAUGGUUCCGAGUUAAGGAAAUGGGAAACAAAGAAUCAAAUUUAACGGGAUCAUAAUGUCUUUGUAACAUCAAAUGUUGAAUUUCUUGUAAAUACUUUAUGUUGAAUUCGUAAAAUUAGUAAACCAUCAAUUUAUAUUGGAUGGUUUUGAUCAACUUGUAAUAGAUUCAUUUGCUUGAAGUUUAAUUUGACUAAUAGACUUGUAAUGUGAUA
Long non-coding RNA from Spinacia oleracea (spinach), 593 nucleotides. RefSeq lists it as uncharacterized. The record is from RefSeq and is a predicted model, not a curated record. Lineage: Eukaryota; Viridiplantae; Streptophyta; Magnoliopsida; Caryophyllales; Amaranthaceae. The transcript is spliced from 4 exons.